This 372-nucleotide ribosomal RNA is filed under the name uncultured organism. RNAcentral's name for it is "bacterial SSU rRNA". It matches the Rfam family "Bacterial small subunit ribosomal RNA", at positions 526 to 896 of the family's 1533-position model. The record is from RNAcentral.
CGUAGGUGGCAAGCGUUACUCGGAAUCACUAGGCGUAAAGCGCAGGUAGGAGGUUUGGUAAGUCUGUUGUGAAAGCUCCCGGCUCAACUGGGAGAGGUCAACGGAAACUACCAGGCUUGAGUGUGGUAGAGGUAGCUGGAAUUCCCGGUGUAGCGGUGAAAUGCGUAGAUAUCGGGAGGAAUACCUAUGGCGAAAGCAGGCUACUGGACCAUCACUGACCCUGAUCUGCGAAAGCUAGGGGAGCAAACAGGAUUAGAUACCCUGGUAGUCCUAGCCCUAAACGAUGCUCAUUAGGUGUGGGAGGUAUCGACCCCUUCCGCGCCGUAGCUAACGCAUUAAAUGAGCCGCCUGGGGAGUACGGCCGCAAGGUUG